This 879-nucleotide ribosomal RNA is filed under the name Leptosphaeria urticae. RNAcentral describes it as "SSU rRNA". It matches the Rfam family "Eukaryotic small subunit ribosomal RNA", at positions 75 to 965 of the family's 1831-position model. Lineage: Eukaryota; Fungi; Ascomycota; Dothideomycetes; Pleosporales; Leptosphaeriaceae. The record is from RNAcentral.
UAUACCGUGAAACUGCGAAUGGCUCAUUAAAUCAGUUAUCGUUUAUUUGAUAGUACCUUACUACUUGGAUAACCGUGGUAAUUCUAGAGCUAAUACAUGCUGAAAACCCCAACUUCGGAAGGGGUGUAUUUAUUAGAUAAAAAACCAACGCCCUUCGGGGCUUCUUGGUGAUUCAUGAUAACUUUACGGAUCGCAUGGCCUUGCGCUGGCGACGGUUCAUUCAAAUUUCUGCCCUAUCAACUUUCGAUGGUAAGGUAUUGGCUUACCAUGGUUUCAACGGGUAACGGGGAAUUAGGGUUCGAUUCCGGAGAGGGAGCCUGAGAAACGGCUACCACAUCCAAGGAAGGCAGCAGGCGCGCAAAUUACCCAAUCCCGACACGGGGAGGUAGUGACAAUAAAUACUGAUACAGGGCUCUUUUGGGUCUUGUAAUUGGAAUGAGUACAAUUUAAACCUCUUAACGAGGAACAAUUGGAGGGCAAGUCUGGUGCCAGCAGCCGCGGUAAUUCCAGCUCCAAUAGCGUAUAUUAAAGUUGUUGCAGUUAAAAAGCUCGUAGUUGAAACUUGGGUCUGGCUGGCGGGUCCGCCUCACCGCGUGUACUUGUCCGGCCGGGCCUUCCUUCUGGAGAACCUCAUGCCCUUUACUGGGCGUGUUGGGGACCAGGACUUUUACUUUGAAAAAAUUAGAGUGUUCAAAGCAGGCCUUUGCUCGAAUACGUUAGCAUGGAAUAAUAGAAUAGGACGUGCGGUCCUAUUUUGUUGGUUUCUAGGACCGCCGUAAUGAUUAAUAGGGACAGUCGGGGGCAUCAGUAUUCAAUUGUCAGAGGUGAAAUUCUUGGAUUUAUUGAAGACUAACUACUGCGAAAGCAUUUGCCAAGGAU